This is a non-coding RNA of Caenorhabditis elegans, 344 nucleotides long. NCBI's taxonomy places the organism in Eukaryota, Metazoa, Nematoda, Chromadorea, Rhabditida, Rhabditidae. The record is from Ensembl.
AGAUCAGAAGUUUCUGCUUAUCCAUCCAUCCAUGUGCCAACCUAAUCUUUUUUAUAGCCCCCGAGGCGCUCGGUUGGCUCAAAUUCAAUUUUGUGUUGGAAGGGGGGGGGGGGGGGGGUGAAAAUGGAAAAGCGAGAGGGAGCAGUGUUUCAUUAGAAGUGUGAAUGAACUGCUGCUACUCGAUGUGAGAAGAGAAGCACGACCAAAUCGUUUCCGCUGUUGUCGAGACACGUCGACUUCAAGUCGUGAUGAGCUGCUGCCACGCUCCUCGAUUUCACCGAACUUAUUUUCAGUUUGGUUUCAAGAGGGAAAUGAUGGGGUGAAUAAAAAAAACGUUGGCCUUC